RNAcentral lists this ribosomal RNA (435 nucleotides) under uncultured bacterium. RNAcentral describes it as "partial 16S ribosomal RNA". It matches the Rfam family "Bacterial small subunit ribosomal RNA", at positions 28 to 507 of the family's 1533-position model. The record is from RNAcentral.
GAUGAACGCUGGCGGUAUGCUUAACACAUGCAAGUCGAACGGACUCUUCGGAGUUAGUGGCGGACGGGUGAGUAACGCGUGAGAAUCUGGCUUUGGGUUCGGGACAACCACUGGAAACGGUGGCUAAUACCGGAUGUGCCGAGAGGUAAAAGAGAAAUUGCCUGAAGAUGAGCUCGCGUCUGAUUAGCUAGUUGGUGAGGUAAAGGCUCACCAAGGCAGCGAUCAGUAGCUGGUCUGAGAGGAUGACCAGCCACACUGGGACUGAGACACGGCCCAGACUCCUACGGGAGGCAGCAGGGGGGAAUUUUCCGCAAGGGGCGAAAGCCUGACGGAGCAAUACCGCGUGAGGGAAGAAGGCUCUUGGGGUGUAAACCUCUUUUCUUAGGGAAGAACAAAAUGACGGUACCUAAGGAAUCAGCAUCGGCUAACUCCGUG